UGCAGUCGAGCGAAUCGACGGGAGCUUGCUCCCUGAGAUUAGCGGCGGACGGGUGAGUAACACGUGGGCAACCUGCCUAUAAGACUGGGAUAACUUCGGGAAACCGGAGCUAAUACCGGAUACGUUCUUUUCUCGCAUGAGAGAAGAUGGAAAGACGGUUUACGCUGUCACUUAUAGAUGGGCCCGCGGCGCAUUAGCUAGUUGGUGAGGUAAUGGCUCACCAAGGCGACGAUGCGUAGCCGACCUGAGAGGGUGAUCGGCCACACUGGGACUGAGACACGGCCCAGACUCCUACGGGAGGCAGCAGUAGGGAAUCUUCCGCAAUGGACGAAAGUCUGACGGAGCAACGCCGCGUGAACGAAGAAGGCCUUCGGGUCGUAAAGUUCUGUUGUUAGGGAAGAACAAGUACCAGAGUAACUGCUGGUACCUUGACGGUACCUAACCAGAAAGCCACGGCUAACUACGUGCCAGCAGCCGCGGUAAUACGUAGGUGGCAAGCGUUGUCCGGAAUUAUUGGGCGUAAAGCGCGCGCAGGUGGUUCCUUAAGUCUGAUGUGAAAGCCCACGGCUCAACCGUGGAGGGUCAUUGGAAACUGGGGAACUUGAGUGCAGAAGAGGAAAGUGGAAUUCCAAGUGUAGCGGUGAAAUGCGUAGAGAU
RNAcentral lists this ribosomal RNA (657 nucleotides) under Bacillus sp. FJAT-4425. Its description in RNAcentral is "bacterial SSU rRNA". It matches the Rfam family "Bacterial small subunit ribosomal RNA", at positions 56 to 697 of the family's 1533-position model. The record is from RNAcentral. Lineage: Bacteria; Bacillati; Bacillota; Bacilli; Caryophanales; Bacillaceae.